UGGGUUGCCCGGGAUUCGAACCCGGAACUAGUC
RNAcentral lists this transfer RNA (33 nucleotides) under Lactuca sativa (garden lettuce). RNAcentral's name for it is "partial tRNA-Lys". The record is from RNAcentral. Lineage: Eukaryota; Viridiplantae; Streptophyta; Magnoliopsida; Asterales; Asteraceae.